UACGUAGGGUGCGAGCGUUAAUCGGAAUUACUGGGCGUAAAGCGUGCGCAGGCGGUUUUGUAAGCCAGAUGUGAAAUCCCCGGGCUUAACCUGGGAAUGGCAUUUGGGACUGCAAGGCUCGAGUGCGGCAGAGGAGACUGGAAUUCCUGGUGUAGCAGUGAAAUGCGUAGAUAUCAGGAGGAACACCGGUGGCGAAGGCGGCAUCCUGGACCGGGAUUGACACUGAGGCGCGAAAGCCAGGGGAGCAAACGGG
This 253-nucleotide ribosomal RNA is filed under the name uncultured bacterium. RNAcentral's name for it is "partial 16S ribosomal RNA". It matches the Rfam family "Bacterial small subunit ribosomal RNA", at positions 524 to 776 of the family's 1533-position model. The record is from RNAcentral.